Molecule: ribosomal RNA, 1536 nt
Filed under: Salmonella enterica subsp. enterica serovar Paratyphi A
Lineage: Bacteria; Pseudomonadati; Pseudomonadota; Gammaproteobacteria; Enterobacterales; Enterobacteriaceae
Description: bacterial LSU rRNA
Rfam family: Bacterial large subunit ribosomal RNA
Source: RNAcentral
GGGGGGACGGAGAAGGCUAUGUUGGCCGGGCGACGGUUGUCCCGGUUUAAGCGUGUAGGUGUGUGUUCCAGGUAAAUCCGGUUCACUUUAACACUGAGGCGUGACGACGAGGCACUACGGUGCUGAAGCAACAAAUGCCCUGCUUCCAGGAAAAGCCUCUAAGCAUCAGGUAACAUCAAAUCGUACCCCAAACCGACACAGGUGGUCAGGUAGAGAAUACCAAGGCGCUUGAGAGAACUCGGGUGAAGGAACUAGGCAAAAUGGUGCCGUAACUUCGGGAGAAGGCACGCUGACACGUAGGUGAAGUGAUUUACUCAUGGAGCUGAAGUCAGUCGAAGAUACCAGCUGGCUGCAACUGUUUAUUAAAAACACAGCACUGUGCAAACACGAAAGUGGACGUAUACGGUGUGACGCCUGCCCGGUGCCGGAAGGUUAAUUGAUGGGGUCAGCGCAAGCGAAGCUCCUGAUCGAAGCCCCGGUAAACGGCGGCCGUAACUAUAACGGUCCUAAGGUAGCGAAAUUCCUUGUCGGGUAAGUUCCGACCUGCACGAAUGGCGUAAUGAUGGCCAGGCUGUCUCCACCCGAGACUCAGUGAAAUUGAACUCGCUGUGAAGAUGCAGUGUACCCGCGGCAAGACGGAAAGACCCCGUGAACCUUUACUAUAGCUUGACACUGAACAUUGAGCCUUGAUGUGUAGGAUAGGUGGGAGGCUUUGAAGUGUGGACGCCAGUCUGCAUGGAGCCGACCUUGAAAUACCACCCUUUAAUGUUUGAUGUUCUAACGUGGACCCGUUACCCGGGUUGCGGACAGUGUCUGGUGGGUAGUUUGACUGGGGCGGUCUCCUCCUAAAGAGUAACGGAGGAGCACGAAGGUUGGCUAAUCCUGGUCGGACAUCAGGAGGUUAGUGCAAUGGCAUAAGCCAGCUUGACUGCGAGCGUGACGGCGCGAGCAGGUGCGAAAGCAGGUCAUAGUGAUCCGGUGGUUCUGAAUGGAAGGGCCAUCGCUCAACGGAUAAAAGGUACUCCGGGGAUAACAGGCUGAUACCGCCCAAGAGUUCAUAUCGACGGCGGUGUUUGGCACCUCGAUGUCGGCUCAUCACAUCCUGGGGCUGAAGUAGGUCCCAAGGGUAUGGCUGUUCGCCAUUUAAAGUGGUACGCGAGCUGGGUUUAGAACGUCGUGAGACAGUUCGGUCCCUAUCUGCCGUGGGCGCUGGAGAACUGAGGGGGGCUGCUCCUAGUACGAGAGGACCGGAGUGGACGCAUCACUGGUGUUCGGGUUGUCAUGCCAAUGGCACUGCCCGGUAGCUAAAUGCGGAAGAGAUAAGUGCUGAAAGCAUCUAAGCACGAAACUUGCCCCGAGAUGAGUUCUCCCUGAGACUUUAGGUCUCCUGAAGGAACGUUGAAGACGACGACGUUGAUAGGCCGGGUGUGUAAGCGCAGCGAUGCGUUGAGCUAACCGGUACUAAUGAACCGUGAGGCUUAACCUUACAACGCCGAAGAUGUUUUGGCGGAUGAGAGACGAUUUUCAGCACUGAUU